CUCUCUCUCUCUCUCUCUCUCCAUGGUCUCCCUCUCCCUCUCUCCACGGUCUCUCUCUCUCUCUCUCUCUCUCUCUCUCUCUCUCUCUCUCUCCCUCUCUCCCUCUCUCCCUCUCUCUCUCUCUCUCUCUCCACGGUCUCCCUCUCCCUCUCCCUCUCUCCACGGUCUCCCUCUCCCUCUCCCUCUCCCUCUCUCCACGGUCUCCCUCUCCCUCUCUUUCCACGGUCUCCCUCUGAUGCCGAGCCGAGGCUGGACUGUACUGCUGCCAUCUCGGCUCACUGUAACCUCCCUGCCUGAUUCUCCUGCCUCAGCCUGCCGAGUGCCUGCGAUUGCAGGCGCGUGCCGCCACGCCUGACUGGUUUUCGUAUUUUUUUGGUGGAGACGGGGUUUCGCUGUGUUGGCUGGGCUGGUCUCCAGCUCCUGACCGCGAGUGAUCCGCCAGCCUCGGCCUCCCGAGGUGCCGGGAUUGCAGAUGGAGUCUGGUUCACUCAGUGCUCAAUGGUGCCCAGGCUGGAGUGCAGUGGCGUGAUCUCGGCUCGCUGCAACCUCCACCUCCCAGCCGCCUGCCUUGGCCUCCCAAAGUGCCGAGAUUGCAGCCUCUGCCCAGCCACCACCCCAUCUGGGAAGUGAGGAGCGUCUCUGCCUGGCUGCCCAUCGUCUGGGAUGUGAGGAGCCCCUCUGCCUGGCUGCCCAGUCUGGAAAGUGAGGAGCGUCUCUGCCCGGCCGCCAUCCCAUCUAGGAAGUGGGGAGCGUCUCUGCCCGGCCGCCCAUCGUCUGAGAUGUGGGGAGCGCCUCUGCCCCGCCACCCCUUCUGGGAUGUGAGGAGCGCCUCUGCCCGGCCACGACCCCGUCUGGGAGCCCAGCAUGUGAUCCAGCUUGAUGAACAUUCCAUGUGCACGUGACAAGAAUGGAUAUUCUGCUGUUGUUGGCUGUAGUGUUCUAUGUCAGGUCAGGCUGGUUGACAGUGUUGUUAAAUCUAUAUCCUUGCUAAUUUUUGUUUACUUUUUCUAUCAUUUUCUGAGAGAAGAGUGUUAAAAUCUCUAUGAUUGUGGAUUUUGUCUGUUUUCUCCUAUAGUUCUACCGUGCUUGCUUCAUCUCUCUUAAAUCUCUAUUAUUAGUUAAUUCAUCUUCUUGAUGAAUUGACCUUAUUAUUAUGCUUUUUCUGUUUGGUUCUUGUAGUAUACCAUGAAGUAUGUUUUGUCUGAUAGCAAUAUAACCAUACCAGCUUUUUAAUACUUACUGUUGGCAUAGUAAAACUUUUUCUUUGUUUUCAGACAGGGUCUCACUCUGUCACCCAGGCCGAGUGCAGUGACAUGAGCACAGUUCACUGUAGCAUUGACCUCCCAGGCUCAAGCGAUCCUCCCACCUCAGCCCCCCAUCCCUGUGGGGGUGUCAGUGAUGCUUGGACUCCACUAACUGCACCAUUGUCCUACUCCAUCUCCUUUGAGCCUGCUGUCAACCUCUGCACACAUGGCCUCAGCCCCUAGCCCUGGAUGACCACCAUUAGACCCAGCAGAACGGCAGCAGUGGUUUGCUGGCCCAGCACCUAGAGCUGCAGAAUAUGCUCCCUUGACCCUCAGGGAAAGAUGCAGAGCUAGUGAGACUUACUCUCCUCCACCACCAAAGUGAAG
Homo sapiens (human) is the source of this 1631-nucleotide long non-coding RNA. RefSeq lists it as uncharacterized. The record is from RefSeq and is a predicted model, not a curated record. The transcript has 3 exons. Lineage: Eukaryota; Metazoa; Chordata; Mammalia; Primates; Hominidae.